Molecule: long non-coding RNA, 951 nt
Filed under: Carica papaya (papaya)
Lineage: Eukaryota; Viridiplantae; Streptophyta; Magnoliopsida; Brassicales; Caricaceae
Description: long non-coding RNA (CPAP_LNC012383)
Source: RNAcentral
UCACCUUUCAGGCACUAAGGAAACCAUUGAGAAGUAAACGGUGAGACCAGAGAAAGUUUCGAAGUUAGAUCAAUGUUACUAGUUUGUUUUGUAUUUUGUACUGUUAUAAGAAAAACAAAAAUUUUAGAGUUUUGUAUUUGUAUGUAGCUGAUGUAAAUAUUUAAGAGAUGUAACAUUUCUGAGUACUUUUGUCUUAAUGAAAGUAUGCUAUUUAAUUUAAUUAAGUGUUUAUGCUCCAGCCAAUGCCUUGGAAGAGCGAUUAGGCCGUGACACAGGUGGUACAUAGUGUACAUAGUGUUCUUCAGGCAAUUUUGCGCAUGUAGCGUCACCUCAGAAUUUGCUAUUUACAUUUCCAACAUGUUAGUGUUUCAGUUUUUCUUGGCCAUUGCCAUUUUUGAAUUGUGACUUUGUUUUCAGUGGAAAACAAGGUUUUUGGUAGAGCUUCAGUUAUUCUUGUGGUACGCAAAUGACAAUCGUUGUGAUUUUGGAGGGCAGCUGCUGUCUUGCUUCUACUUGCCAUCAUUAGCUGGUGGAAGUUACCCACCCAUUUUACUCCUCCUCUGGUGCUAUGUUUGAACAGGCAGCAGUACUUUAGUCCAUGAAAUGGCCCGUUUUAUAAUCGGAGGUAGGAUGACAGCAUUCAGCUGAGAUUGAUUCGUGUUUGGAACUUUCUCAUGAGCCAAGAAGCUGGGUUUCCUUGUCUAUGCAGCAAUCUAGUUAGAGUUUCUCAUUUUUCCACCCAAAAAUUGCUUAAUUCUAAGCAUAUAGGUUUCUUUUUUAUCUCGGCAACUUCCACGAACCAUAUCAUCUUCCCUUAGUGCAAUAUUUGGUGCUAGAUGUGUAUUUUGAACUUUUUACUAGUUUCACCCUCGUGAUAGAAUGUAGAAGCAGUUAGUUUCCUUUCUUUCCAUUAUUUCCUUUUUUUCAAUUUUGGUAAAUUGGGGGGGGGGG